GCCAGGUGUGGUGAUGCACACCUGUAAUCCCAGUGCCUUGAGAGGCUGAGGCAGGAGGAUCAGGUUCAAAGCCAGCCUCAGCAACUUAGCUAUGCUGUAAGCAACUCAGUGAGACCUUGUCUCAA
This 125-nucleotide small RNA is filed under the name Marmota monax (woodchuck). The record is from RNAcentral. Lineage: Eukaryota; Metazoa; Chordata; Mammalia; Rodentia; Sciuridae.